RNAcentral lists this long non-coding RNA (685 nucleotides) under Coccomyxa subellipsoidea. Its description in RNAcentral is "long non-coding RNA (CSUB_LNC000404)". The record is from RNAcentral. Lineage: Eukaryota; Viridiplantae; Chlorophyta; Trebouxiophyceae; Coccomyxaceae.
AUUAUUUUACUGUCGAGGAUUGACAAGGGACCCCAUUUAAGCUGUGUAAGUUGCAUGAUAAAACCCUGUGUGUACCAGGAUCCUGACCAAGACGCUAUUUCGUUUCUAGGCAUCAACCAUCGAAGCUGUCAGGCUACCUUCACGCUUCAUAGAUACUUGAUAUAAGGUGAAGAUACAUACUAAAUUUCAGAUAAUUCUUCCUGAGAUCCUACCUGGCUGAGAGUCAGGGUUAUCUCUCGCAUCUUAGUUUCCUUGCGAUCGUGGCAUUCAUCGUGGAGAUCACAGCAAAUAUUUGCUCCUUCAAAUCCUGUCGUCACACAUAUAUAUAUAUAUUAGUUCAUGCUGUGCAGUGUCAUCAGCUUGCUGAUUCGGGCACCUGCCCCAUCUAUUCCUUGGAGGGUUACCAGAACUUCUAAGGAGGCUUCUUCUUUCACCCUUUAAUCGCCCGAUCCGCACAAAGCGGCGAUCAGUACGACCCAGGUGCGCACGAGCACCAAUCGAUAUUGACCGUGCUUCCAUACAUAGUAGCAUCAGCUGCUGCUAAGUGGCCAAUGAGAUUAAGUGAGAUAGUGCCAGAGUAGUGUGCAGGGGACUGAAUUGGGCCCAAAGGAGUAGAGUAGCUGGAGAACUCCACAUUCCCUGCGUGCUGAUGUACGUGCCACUGGCAGCGGACGGAUGAGAAAGG